UACGUAGGGUGCAAGCGUUAUCCGGAUUCACUGGGUUUAAAGGGUGCGUAGGUGGGCUAGUAAGUCCGUGGUGAAAUCCCCGAGCUUAACUCGGGAACUGCCGUGGAUACUAUUAGUCUUGAAUAUCGUGGAGGUAAGCGGAAUAUGUCAUGUAGCGGUGAAAUGCUUAGAUAUGACAUAGAACACCGAUAGCGGAGGCAGCUUACUACGCGAUUAUUGACACUGAGGCACGAAAGCGUGGGGAUCAAACAGG
Molecule: ribosomal RNA, 253 nt
Filed under: uncultured bacterium
Lineage: Bacteria
Description: partial 16S ribosomal RNA
Rfam family: Bacterial small subunit ribosomal RNA
Source: RNAcentral